GACUCACUAGCCUUUGCACAAGUGGCAAAGCCAUCGAGCGGCUCCACCUGGCUGACUGGAAACAGCUUUACAUACGCACACCUGUGUAUUCUCAUCUCCAGAGGACGUAUGUGUCUGUCGAGUACCAAUGCAUUUUGCUACUGUUUGGUUGUUUUGUUUUAUUUAAUCCCAAACCUCAACAAAUGAGGAGCUGAUUUUGGUACUUUUCCUUUGGGUUUCCCUAAAUUUACUACCAGAAGCGGGGGAGAGGUGGGCCUCUCCGAGACCAGAGGCCUGGCCUCCCUGAGGAUGCUGGGCAGCUCUGCCUUACAUCCGUCACUGUCAUAAACCAGGCACCCUGGGGAAAGGCCUUGGAGGCGCGUGGGCCAGGCCUCCAGGAGAUUCCAUUUGAGAGCUGACCUGGGGAUAUAGGUGUUUGGCUUUGGAUUCUGCUCCAAUCCGCCAGUGGUUUCUUGCAAUUAAAAAGAAAACAAAACUCAAACACUGUUUACAGCAAGCAAUACUUGAAGAGCAUAGGUUCGAGAAGCUGCAGUAUUUAUUGUUGUGCUUUCUGUCUUUUAUUCUCUCGUGCCUAGAGAGGGGAGACAACCCUUCGCUCGUAUGCGGAAGCUCCUGAUCGUCUGAGCACUGGCCUCGGUAGAGAUGACUGUAGCAUCCCCAUGUUAUGUCUUCUUCGGCCUCUCUUUCUGCCUCUCAUGUCCUUAUGAGUUUGAAGGACAAGUGGGCAGCUUCUCUCUCUCCUGCUGACACCUAAAUCCAUGGAUGACCAUCCGUCCUGAGUGUAGUUUCCAAAUAAAGAGACCAAAGUUCCACACCCUGGUCCUGAGGCCCCAUGGAAGGCAGUGGGAGGCAUCCAGAGGAAGACACCUCCGCUGGUGCAGGACCCUAGUGACCGGACAGCCACCAGAGUUUCCGGGCCUCCCACCCUGGCAAGAAUCCAAGCAGCUAGCUCCAACUUCUCCGCAGGCAGCGUCGGAGUGAGUGUGAAGGAGGACAAGAGAAAGGCAAAGGGGUGGGAAGGGAGGCAGCAGGAGAGGACCAGCCUACCCUUCCCACCUUCUACUUUACAAGGGGCUGCAAUGCUGGGAAUCGGGUCCAGCCACCCCCAGCGAUACCAGGCCAGGGUCAUUUCCUCUGUAAUUAACUCUGGGCCCUGGCUUCUCUGUGCCCUGAUUUACCUCCAAACACUUCCAAUUUCCAAAAGCUCUGCUGACCACAUUGGAUUGCCAGGAAAGGGCCGGGGGAGGGGUAGCUCUGAGGGCUGGCUUCCAUCGCUGGGGUGUGGCUUUGCAUCACUCUGCUAACCACACAGCAGACAUUGCCCGGUCCUGGCCUCAGCUCCAGUUUCUUGCCUGGAUGCAGCCGACAAAUGGGAGAAGAAAAGCAUUCAGCAGAAUACUCAGGAAACUCGCUGUUUUCAUUAUAAUUCACAGCCAGCCAUGUGAAGGCCACUUUCUUCUGAUAAUCCACUUCUGUUAACGUUUCUCUGGGCCCUAUUAAUAGCCUGAAAGAAAUACUAAUGACUGGCCUUCUGCACUAAGCCAAAGUGUUUGCCCUUCAUUACCCAAAGCUUACCAGCUCAGAGCCCAUGAUUUAUGGAGAUGAAAGGCGAGGAGAUACGGCAAGAGGAACGUGAGCAGGGGACUCUUUGCUGCCUACAGAAAAGUGCAGCCCACCCUCCUUUUACUUCCGAGCUCUGAAUGAAGGUUUUCUGAUCACACCACUGCUCAGACUGGCAUCCUGGGCUUUGCCCCACCAAGAAGUAAAAGUUAGACAUCUCAACUGCGACCUGUAGGCAUCUACCCGGGUGUCUCCCAGCAGCUACUCUUGGUGACCAUUCACCACCCCUGGGGAUGCUUCCUUGAAGGUUUUGGAGGAGUGGGAGAAUGAUGGAGGCAUGGCCGCUUGGACAGUGGAGAGGAGAGGCGCCAGAGCUGGCCUGAGAAGCUUGACCACAUUUCUCAGGAUUCCAUGAGAGAGCUGGGGAAUGUGGGCUGGCAAAGGCUGUGGCACAGGGGCGUCCCUAAGGAAGGAAUUGAGAGAAAGGAAAACUCGACUGGACUCAAGUCAGGCCAUGAGGGUGAAAGGAUGGAGAGCCUUGCUUGGCUUUGGGUCACCAAGAGUGCAUGCCCUGUGGGAUGGGAGGGGAGGGAGUUAAUUGGCCUCUGUCCCCACUGUUAUCCGAUGUGAUGUGAAGAUAUUUUGACCUUGUGUAAGGGAUAAGUAUUAAAGUCACGUUCCCUCCCCCACAUGAAGUCAUCCGUCUUGGAGGGAGGCAGAGAGGGACUUCUCUCUCGAAGGUUGAUCCAGCUCCAUUUUGUUUCACUGGUCUGCACAAGAGACAAUCUUCUGGAAAACGGAAAGGAAAAGCACCCCAGAAAUGUGCUUGGCAAGACAGAGGGUGCUCACACACAAGAUAGAGAUGGACAAGCUGUCCAUCUUGGUGGAGUGAGUCCCUCCAGCUGGCCUGCUGCUGCCUACCGCCCAGCAGGGGCUCAGGUGCUUCUGUGCUUGCCCUCCUACAGCUCUCCACAGCCCAUCUCUCAGAACCAUUCCUGAUCCACUACUGGCAGAGAGCUCCCCCUCCUUGAAACGUUCAGUCAUUAGAAGCACGGAUCCACUGGGAACCUCACUCGCGGGGUUCCUGUAUUCAUUCAUUCAGAGAACAUUUCUGCGUAACACUGUUUGCAAUGGCCCUGCUCCAGGUGCUAAGAAACAGCAACAAACGAGACCAAGAAGGGCCUUCUUCUAGCAAACUGACAUUCUUCGGGCUGCUGGUUCCUGCCACCAACUUAGCCCGCAUAGCUCACCUCCCAGACCUGCAGAGGGCACAAGUUUUGUAGAAAAGGGAGCCAGAAGAAGGAAGAAAGCCGACCCACCCAGCUGCCUUACCUCGUUCUGGGGACAGUCCUGAGAGCCAUGAGAGCCCUUCUCAUUCCCACUGCCGCUGUCUCUUCUGGUGGCACUUCCCCUGCUGCUUGAGCGCCUGGCCUCCCUUUAUUUCUACCAAACGAGGACAAGAAAUAGCAGUGGAGGCCCCUGGCCCUGCUGAGCAUGAAGCAGAAGCAACGGAUGGGUGAGCUGGACUACAAUGGUCUGGGCAGCACAAAUUGAGAGUGUUUGAAAGCCACUGGCUGAUCAGUCUCCAGGUGCAUCCCAGUUGCCACACUGCCCCCAUUAACCUGCAGCCAGUAGAUACUGAGCGGGCAGCUGCCCUCGAGGAGGCCACUGUUCCCAGCCACGCUGUCCUGCCUGAGGUUCCUGGGCCCUGGCCGCGGGCAGGAAAGAACUGAGCCUCAGUGAUGCGGGCUCUGUGGGUGAGAAAAUGCAGAGGAGUUUAGUGGACACAGGGCUGUGGGAGCAGGUCCUCUGGGGGGACUUGGGAGGUGAAGUUCAGGGCCUUCUGGUGCCUUGUCUCAGGAACACGCUUUGAGAAGAUGGCGGCCUCCUCUUCAUCACCCCAGUCUCUCUUCCCUGUCUCUUUCCUUUCUUCUGGUUUCCCCAAGAGUGAAGUUUUAGCAUCUGGGGGCUCCGUGAUGCCAGGGAUAAAAGAUAAAGUUUCACCCUUGGUAUUAGGGAGGACCUGGGGGCCAGGGCCUCAGCCCUGUCAGCAAACUGGAGAUUCUGGGCCUUUCAUGGACAUGCCCAUCGCAUUCCCCUCACCCUAAAGGGACUCUCCCCUCUAUCCUUUCUGCAGUGCAGCCCGUGCCUCCUGUCCUCACCUCAAGGAGAUGGGAGGCAUCGUCUGGAUUUCAGUCAAGGCCCUGACUCAGGCCUCGUGUACUCUCUGCGUUGGCAUUACAGGUGGAGAACAUAAUGGAACGUAGUUCCCCCUACAAAGCAGAUGUUCCCAAGUGUGUCAGGGAGGGAGGGACAAGCUCUUUGUACCACGAGACUAAGGACCUGAGCCCACCUGCCUCUCCCCUCAACUUCUCCUACCCAAACCCACUCUUCUUGACACACUGGAAUCUGUAUUAUAUAUUUUUUUAAGAAAAUAGAACGAUAGCUGUCCAGUUUUGUUGUUUUUACAGGUGUUGUGGAAUAAAAACUGUAAGAAAAUUACGUAUUUAAAAUGUUCCAAUAAACUGGGGUUUUUUUUGUCAUUCUAAUAUAUUACUGUGUACCUAUUGUAAAUAUGAAACACUCCUAUUUUGCAAGCCAAGGACACAAUUUGUACUGUUGUUAUAUAUAAAUAAAGUUUACCUUAAAUCUUC
This 4214-nucleotide long non-coding RNA is filed under the name Phocoena sinus (vaquita). Its description in RNAcentral is "lncRNA (ENSPSNG00000012971.1)". The record is from RNAcentral. Lineage: Eukaryota; Metazoa; Chordata; Mammalia; Artiodactyla; Phocoenidae.